CAGGAAUAUUGGAACACAGGACUGACUGACUCUCUGUCUCUCCCCCCUCUAUUUCUCUCUCUCUCUCUCUCCUCUCUCUCCCUGUCUCUCUAUCUCUUUCUGUCCCUCUCUAGCUCCCAUGAGCUGAGCAGUUUCUUUCACCAUAUCCUCCCUGUUGUGAUGCACCAGGCUCAAAGAAAAGGUCAAUUAGAACUCCGUCCCGAUUAUCUGGUCUCCUACCAGGAGAUAAGUACUCUUAGUUACAGGAGAAAAGAAACUUCCUAGGCAUCGGUGGAGGACAAAUAUGAGUCAAGAUUCAGGACACUGCAAUUGACACUUUCUUAGGCCUGUGCUUGUCCAGGACAAAAUGCACUGAUGGCAGCACGUUAUCCAGGCCAAAAGAGAUCCACUGGGGAUAGAAAAGGUGCUUCACAGUGACCACAAGGGAGCUCAGAGGGACCUUUAGGAGACCUGCUUUUGGAGAAGAGCCCACAGUGACCCCUGGCCUGGCUUAGAGCUCCAGAGCAGGCAAGAAAACAGAGCCACGACAAGGUCCAGUUGCUUGUCCAAGGUCACUGUGUGGAUAAUGGAGGUAUGAUUCCCACGACACUGUUCAGUUCCCAAGCUAAUCUCCUUCGUGGUUGUCUUGCUGUCACGUCAUUGUCACUUCCAACUGCGUCUUUUUAAUUUGCUGUUAUAACAGACAGGACCUCCGCUGUAAAGCAAGAAGAGUAACAAUACCAAGUGUUGGCAAAUAGGCGGGACAAU
Long non-coding RNA from Cavia porcellus (domestic guinea pig), 747 nucleotides. RefSeq lists it as uncharacterized. The record is from RefSeq and is a predicted model, not a curated record. Lineage: Eukaryota; Metazoa; Chordata; Mammalia; Rodentia; Caviidae. The transcript has 4 exons.